CUCAGUAUAGCAGAGGAUUCCCUUUGCGUGAGAUGAUCAAAAUGAGAAGUUGCUGAGGGCAUGAGAAAGGUUUGCGGGACCGUGAGCGUAUAUAGUCACUGAAAAACCACGUUUCAUCACAAAACGCAACUACUCCGGGACAAUCAUUGCAAGUGGAUUUAAAAGUAAGAUUUUAACGAGCACUUUGAAUUUUAAUCGAAGUGGUCGAACAACGUUUUCAUUUUAAGCUCCACGUAACGUAUGGAUGUAUUUUUGCCACUGUGUUGCAGCUUCCGUUCACAACUUUAUAUUUUACCGCAUUUGGCACUUUUACCUUUGUUAGGUAUUGCCGUUUUGCGCACGUGGAGCGGUCUUUUGUAUGGAUGAUACCUAAGCGAUGAGAUAGCGGCUCUCGUUCGUUUGUGGGCAUAUAUUAUGGGACAUCAUGAAUAAUCACCUAGUAGCUGCCAUCAAGAAGAUUGGUUCCCAGCUUGGAUUCCUUGCUGACAAAUUGUCCCAUGGGCGUAUAAUUCCGAAUAUGUCCGAUGUUAUUACAGACGCCCAGUUCAUCGGAGUAUGUGGUGUACUUUAUCUAUUAACAGAUAUAUCGAGGACUGCCCGUUUCUCUGGAUUUUUACAUAUAUGGUUCUGCUUUCGAUACCCAUUUGUCCGUUGUAACGAAGCCUCAUUGUUUGGAUUAUGUAAACGGAUACAUCUAUGGGAUUCAUCAGUUUUAAGCGAUAAUGGAAUACAAGAUGUACGUAUCAUGGAUUAAUAGAAGAUGCUGUGCACUGUUUGACAGUUACAAGCCAGGGAGGUGUGUGAUUGGACACUUAAAGUCAGCCUCCAGCUAUGACCGGCUCCAAAGUCGAUCCUGCAGGCAGUGCCUUGCAACCUGCCAGUCCGGAAAACCCGUUUUCCUGGCAGGGCAUGCUGGCCAUCCCAAGACCCGGAAUACCGCCGUCCAACAACACUGGAUGUUGAUCUCUCCACACCAGGCUCUGUCUUCAUGUAUUGUUUUGGAUCUCCUGAAAGUCCAGCCGGCUGGCAUAGAGGGCGAUGCGCUCGACGUGUGGAAGGGGGCGAGAUGCCCAGCAAAACCAAUGUCGCCACCCCUCGGAGUGCUGAGAUGUGAUUGGCUGUUAGGGAAACGGCCAUGAUUGGCAGUGGCAAGAGGCAGGCCGUGGGGGGGACGAGCCUAGCAGACGAAGAGUCACGGCGAUGAAGAGACAAGCAUGGGCCCUCAGGGGGCCAGGGGGCAGGUUGGGGCCUGAGAUGGCAAGCUGCAGGCGGGCGGGGCAGCAGGGGAACGUGAUGCCUGGCAGGUACCGCACGUCUGCUCUCCGGGGAACAUAGCGCAGACAGAUCUCCCCGACACGUCCUUCCUCCGCCCGGGGGCAGCCGCCAUCACAUCUUUCGCCGGCGGGGGCGGCGUCACGCCCUGUUCCCAAGCCCGAGAGAGAGCCACCUGGAGUUACGGGUGCUGCCGGUAAACAGACCACCUGCGCUGACUCGCCCCCCCCCCCCACCUCGAUGCCCAAGCUCGGGCACAGCGGAGCGCUCCAUGGAAGACGAGGAGUGUGGGAGCGAAGCCCCGUCGGCCCUGGGGAGUAACCCAACACGGCGAGUGCUGCCGCAGAGUCCCGGUACUGUAGCCCUCAUUCCCAGACAAUAAACCGCCAAAUCCCACAGCCACCGUGACCUUCAGCCUUCCCCAGCAACCAGCAAGCACCAGGUCCCAGCCAGUCAGACUUCAGCUAAAAAUGGACUCUGCUGCUUUUGUGAUAUGCAUGUAUAUAUUUUUUUUUCCCUGAUUUGUCUGGCAUUUCAGAGUAGAGGUUUAUGGAGCCGCGAUGAUUUUGUCAGAUGCUGGAGAUGAUGACCUUAAAUGCUACCGGACCUCUUUUACUAAAAGUGGCAGGAGGCCCGGGCCUUGCCCCGGGACGGGAGGAAGCAGGCUCGGUACCAGAAUUCAGCGUCCAGUACCACAAAUGGAGGACUUCAAGGGUCCGGUAGGACCUAAUGCUCACUAGCCAUUGACUUUUUACUGGGUCCCUAUUUUUACGAUAUACCCCAAAAUAUUCAGGGAAUGAAUCGGAAUGGAUUUUUUCUGACAAUCUAUAAAUCAAUAUUGUUAAGCAGCCGUUCACGCUGCUUACCUGGCACUCACUAUCAUUUGGGAUCCCCUGGGAAUUGUAUAAAAUCAGCCCGGCCACAAUCUUGUAAAGUACAAUCAGGAACCUAUGGACUAUGGAGUUGCAGUUGACUCAGAAGACCAUUUUGGUGUCAUUUUGGUUUGGAUGGGCUCACUGGCAGACGGAGCAGACUUCUUUAGGAGUGAAAGCAUGAUGGACUUCAACAUUUCCAGAUAUGAAGGACUGACACCAGCAAGCUAGGGAAAGUGGGAGUUCUUUUAGACACCCAGUUCUCAGGUGUCCGUGCCUCAGGGCAUAUCCUGUUCCUCUUUCAGGCAGAACUGGUUUCUGCAGUGACUUUUAUCCAGCCUGUAAAUGCAAAAUUUUUUUGCAUUAAAAAAGUGUGAUACAUCA
Paramormyrops kingsleyae is the source of this 2528-nucleotide non-coding RNA. The record is from RefSeq and is a predicted model, not a curated record. NCBI's taxonomy places the organism in Eukaryota, Metazoa, Chordata, Actinopteri, Osteoglossiformes, Mormyridae.